GGAAGUAAAUUACAUUUAUUAUUAGUUGAAUUUUCUCGAAAAUAUUUAGUACUGUUCAAAAGAACAGAAAUUAUAGUUUGAGUGAGAAUUUUAUGUUUCAACUCUUAAAAACAGUUUUCUACAAAUGCACGCGGUUUUAGUUUAGUGAUUAUAUAUUGAGUUGGUGAAAUUUUUAGAAAACUUUAAUAAACAAAUAAACAAACUAAUCGAAAAAUUGAACACACAAAAUUUAACAAUCAUUCUCUGGGCCCUUUUCCACCGAGGGCAAGAGAAUGAGGGUGAGAGGCGAGACGGGCCGUUUCCGCUUCCGCCUCUAACUCUGCUGUCCUCGGCGAGAGAAAAAAAAUAAACGAGGAGAGAGAAAGAGGAGAGAGAAAAAGUAAUAAGGAUAUUUUGGUCAGUUUGUUGAAAAUUCAGUCCGAAUCUGCAAAAUCGAAAAUAAAGUGGCCCACUUCUGCAAAAAUGCAAAACUAGUGAAUUUUUUAUGCAAAUUGGCCUAGUUAUAAAUAAGAGAAAAGGAAUAAAGUAGUAUUUUAGAAAA
This 541-nucleotide long non-coding RNA is filed under the name Ananas comosus (pineapple). RNAcentral's name for it is "long non-coding RNA (ACOM_LNC007927)". The record is from RNAcentral. Lineage: Eukaryota; Viridiplantae; Streptophyta; Magnoliopsida; Poales; Bromeliaceae.